Molecule: ribosomal RNA, 678 nt
Filed under: uncultured bacterium
Lineage: Bacteria
Description: bacterial SSU rRNA
Rfam family: Bacterial small subunit ribosomal RNA
Source: RNAcentral
GAUGAACGCUGGCGGUAUGCUUUACACAUGCAAGUCGUACGGGAGUUUUUAACUCAAGUGGCGGACGGGUGAGUAACACGUAAGAAUUUGCCUUUAGGAGGGGGAUAACAACUGGAAACGGUUGCUAAUACCCCAUAUGCUUUCGAGUGAAACGGAUUUUUCCGCCUAAAGAGAAGCUUGCGGCUGAUUAGCUUGUUGGUAGGGUAAUGGCCUACCAAGGCGACGAUCAGUAUCUGGUUUGAGAGGACGAUCAGACACACUGGAACUGAGACACGGUCCAGACUCCUACGGGAGGCAGCAGUGGGGAAUUUUCCGCAAUGGGCGAAAGCCUGACGGAGCAAUACCGCGUGAGGGAUGACGGCCUAUGGGUUGUAAACCUCUUUUUUCAGGGAGGAAUCAAUGACGUGUACCUGAAGAAUAAGCAUCGGCUAACUCCGUGCCAGCAGCCGCGGUAAGACGGAGGAUGCAAGUGUUAUCCGGAAUCACUGGGCGUAAAGCGUCUGUAGGUGGUUUAAUAAGUCAACUGUUAAAUCUUGAGGCUCAACCUCGAAAUCGCAGUCGAAACUAUUAGACUAGAGUAUAGUAGGGGUAAAGGGAAUUUCCAGUGGAGCGGUGAAAUGCGUAGAUAUUGGAAAGAACACCGAUGGCGAAGGCACUUUACUGGGCUAUUACUAACAC